Molecule: ribosomal RNA, 253 nt
Filed under: uncultured bacterium
Lineage: Bacteria
Description: partial 16S ribosomal RNA
Rfam family: Bacterial small subunit ribosomal RNA
Source: RNAcentral
UACAGAGGUGGCAAGCGUUGUUCGGAAUUACUGGGCGUAAAGGGCGCGUAGGCGGUUCGUCAAGUCCUGUGUGAAAUCCCCCGGCUCAACUGGGGAACUGCACAGGAAACUAGCGGGCUUGAGUUCGGGAGAGGGAAGCGGAAUUCCGGGUGUAGCGGUGAAAUGCGUAGAUAUCCGGAGGAACACCGGUGGCGAAGGCGGCUUCCUGGACCGACACUGACGCUGAGGCGCGAAAGCUAGGGGAGCAAACAGG